CCUUUCGGGGUGGAUCNNNGGCGAACGGGUGAGUAACACGUGGGCAAUCUGCCCUGCACUCUGGGACAAGCCCUGGAAACGGGGUCUAAUACCGGAUAUUACCUGAGGGGGCAUCUUCUCGGGUGGAAAGCUCCGGCGGUGCNCGAUGAGCCCGCGGCCUAUCNNNUUGUUGGUGGGGUGAUGGCCUACCAAGGCGANNNNNNGUAGCCGGCCUGAGAGGGCGACCGGCCACACUGGGACUGAGACACGGCCCNNNCUCCUACGGGAGGCAGCAGUGGGGAAUAUUGCACAAUGGGCGAAAGCCUGAUGCAGCGANNNCGCGUGAGGGAUGACGGCCUUCGGGUUGUAAACCUCUUUCAGCAGNGAAGAAGCGCAAGUGACGGUACCUGCAGAAGAAGCACCGGCUAACUA
RNAcentral lists this ribosomal RNA (411 nucleotides) under Actinacidiphila yanglinensis. RNAcentral's name for it is "Streptomyces yanglinensis partial 16S ribosomal RNA". It matches the Rfam family "Bacterial small subunit ribosomal RNA", at positions 77 to 503 of the family's 1533-position model. The record is from RNAcentral. Lineage: Bacteria; Bacillati; Actinomycetota; Actinomycetes; Kitasatosporales; Streptomycetaceae.